This 365-nucleotide long non-coding RNA is filed under the name Pan troglodytes (chimpanzee). Its description in RNAcentral is "long non-coding RNA NONPTRT009241". Lineage: Eukaryota; Metazoa; Chordata; Mammalia; Primates; Hominidae. The record is from RNAcentral.
AUUUGAUUAAGGCCUCCCCUAACCAGCACCAGUGAGUCAGGCAUAUCUGCCAUCCCCAAGUAAAAAUGAUAAUUAAUAAGAAGGUAAUCAAUUUAUAGAAACCUCCUUUCUUUCUCAAUUUCUGAUGAUGCCCUUUUGCCUGUUCAUAACCCCUUCUGGAAGAAGCAUAACAUGUUCCAGGAACAAUAAGAAGGCCAGUUUGGAAAAUGGUUCAAAUUUAGAAGGGCCAACAGGAGCCAGAUCAUGGGCCUAUGAGGCCAUGCUAAGGAUUUCAUCCUGGCCUAUGAACAAUGGAAAACUGUUGAAGGAUUUUAAACAGGAGAGUGGCAUAGUUUUGCAUUUUAAAACAUUCUAUAUUCUACUAA